CUCAGUUCAGAUUGCAGGCUGCAACUCGCCUGCAUGAAGUCGGAAUUGCUAGUAAUCGUAGGUCAGCAUACUACGGUGAAUACGUUCCCGGGCCUUGUACACACCGCCCGUCAAACCAUGAGAGUUGGCAACACCCGAAGUCGGUAGUCUAACCGCAAGGAGGACGCCGCCGAAGGUGGGGUCGAUGAUUAGGGCUAAGUCGUAACAAGGUACC
RNAcentral lists this ribosomal RNA (214 nucleotides) under uncultured bacterium. RNAcentral describes it as "partial 16S ribosomal RNA". It matches the Rfam family "Bacterial small subunit ribosomal RNA", at positions 1287 to 1500 of the family's 1533-position model. The record is from RNAcentral.